AUUGAACGCUGGCGGAAUGCUUUACACAUGCAAGUCGAACGGCAGCACGGACUUCGGUCUGGUGGCGAGUGGCGAACGGGUGAGUAAUGUAUCGGAACGUGCCCAGUCGUGGGGGAUAACGUAGUGAAAAUUACGCUAAUACCGCAUACGAUCUAUGGAUGAAAGCGGGGGAUCGCAAGACCUCGCGCGAUUGGAGCGGCCGAUAUCAGAUUAGGUAGUUGGUGGGGUAAAGGCCCACCAAGCCAACGAUUUGUAGCUGGUCUGAGAGGACGACCAGCCACACUGGAACUGAGACACGGUCCAGACUCCUACGGGAGUCAGCAGUGGGGAAUUUUGGACAAUGGGCGAAAGCCUGAUCCAGCCAUGCCGCGUGCAGGAUGAAGGCCCUCGGGUUGUAAACUGCUUUUGUACAGAACGAAAAGGUUUCUACUAAUACUAGGAGCUCAUGACGGUACUGUAAGAAUAAGCACCGGCUAACUACGUGCCAGCCGCCGCAGUAA
This 500-nucleotide ribosomal RNA is filed under the name uncultured bacterium. RNAcentral's name for it is "partial 16S ribosomal RNA". It matches the Rfam family "Bacterial small subunit ribosomal RNA", at positions 30 to 523 of the family's 1533-position model. The record is from RNAcentral.